UCCCUGGUGGCUCAGCUGGUAAAGCAUCUGCCUGUAUUGCAAGAGAUCCAGGUUCAAUUCCUGGGCCUGGAA
Molecule: transfer RNA, 72 nt
Filed under: Ovis aries (sheep)
Lineage: Eukaryota; Metazoa; Chordata; Mammalia; Artiodactyla; Bovidae
Rfam family: tRNA
About the family: Transfer RNA (tRNA) molecules are approximately 80 nucleotides in length. Their secondary structure includes four short double-helical elements and three loops (D, anti-codon, and T loops). Further hydrogen bonds mediate the characteristic L-shaped molecular structure. tRNAs have two regions of fundamental functional importance: the anti-codon, which is responsible for specific mRNA codon recognition, and the 3' end, to which the tRNAs corresponding amino acid is attached (by aminoacyl-tRNA synthetases). tRNAs cope with the degeneracy of the genetic code in two manners: having more than one tRNA (with a specific anti-codon) for a particular amino acid; and 'wobble' base-pairing, i.e. permitting non-standard base-pairing at the 3rd anti-codon position.
Source: Rfam by way of RNAcentral